GACGAACGCUGGCGGCGUGCUUAACACAUGCAAGUCGAACGGAAAGGCCCUGCUUUUGUGGCUUGCUCGAGUGGCGAACGGGUGAGUAACACAUGAGUAUCCUGCCCUUGACUUUGGGAUAACUCCAGGAAACUGGGGCUAUUACCGGAUAGAAGAUCUUGCUGCGUGGUGGGGAUUGGAAAGUUUCGGCGGUUGGGGAUGGACUCGCGGCUUAUCAGCUUGUUGGUGGGGUAGUGGCUGCCUAAGGCUUUGACGGGUAGCCGGCCUGAGAGGGUGACCGGCCACAUUGGGACUGAGAUACGGCGCAGACGGCUACGGGAGGCAGCAGUGGAGAAUAUUGCACAAUGGGCGGAAGCCUGAUGCAGCAACGCCGCGUGCGGGAUGACGGCCUUCGGGUUGUAAACCGAUUUCGCCUGUGACGAGGCGUGAGUGACGGUAAUGGGUAAAGAAGCACCGGCUAACUACGUG
Molecule: ribosomal RNA, 468 nt
Filed under: uncultured bacterium
Lineage: Bacteria
Description: partial 16S ribosomal RNA
Rfam family: Bacterial small subunit ribosomal RNA
Source: RNAcentral